RNAcentral lists this ribosomal RNA (253 nucleotides) under uncultured bacterium. RNAcentral's name for it is "partial 16S ribosomal RNA". It matches the Rfam family "Bacterial small subunit ribosomal RNA", at positions 524 to 776 of the family's 1533-position model. The record is from RNAcentral.
GACGAACCGUGCAAACGUUGUUCGGAAUCACUGGGCUUAAAGGGCGCGUAGGCGGCUCAUCAAGUCGGGGGUGAAAUACUUCAGCUUAACUGGAGAAGUGCCUUCGAUACUGGUGGGCUUGAGGGAGGUAGGGGUCUUUGGAACUUCUGGUGGAGCGGUGAAAUGCGUUGAUAUCAGAAGGAACGCCGGUGGCGAAAGCGAAGGACUGGACCUCUUCUGACGCUGAGGCGCGAAAGCUAGGGGAGCAAACAGG